UGAAUGGCUUUUCUAAAAGCCAAUUAUAGAUUCAAUGUGUUUACU
Non-coding RNA from Danio rerio (zebrafish), 45 nucleotides. The record is from Rfam. NCBI's taxonomy places the organism in Eukaryota, Metazoa, Chordata, Actinopteri, Cypriniformes, Danionidae.